GUACUGCUGAAGAGUCCCAAAACCAGGACGACACAGCUGUCCAGUAC
Non-coding RNA from Trichobilharzia regenti, 47 nucleotides. The record is from Rfam. Lineage: Eukaryota; Metazoa; Platyhelminthes; Trematoda; Strigeidida; Schistosomatidae.